This 430-nucleotide ribosomal RNA is filed under the name Bacteroidota bacterium. RNAcentral describes it as "Bacteroidetes bacterium partial 16S ribosomal RNA". It matches the Rfam family "Bacterial small subunit ribosomal RNA", at positions 355 to 776 of the family's 1533-position model. Lineage: Bacteria; Pseudomonadati; Bacteroidota. The record is from RNAcentral.
UAGGGAAUCUUCGGCAAUGGGGGGAACCCUGACCGAGCAACGCCGCGUGAGUGAAGAAGGUUUUCGGAUCGUAAAGCUCUGUUGUUAAGGAAGAACGAGUGUGAGAAUGGAAAGUUCAUGCUGUGACGGUACUUAACCAGAAAGCCACGGCUAACUACGUGCCAGCAGCCGCGGUAAUACGUAGGUGGCAAGCGUUGUCCGGAUUUAUUGGGCGUAAAGCGAGCGCAGGCGGUCAAUUAAGUCUGAUGUGAAAGCCCCCGGCUCAACCGGGGAGGGUCAUUGGAAACUGGUCGACUUGAGUGCAGAAGAGGAGAGUGGAAUUCCAUGUGUAGCGGUGAAAUGCGUAGAUAUAUGGAGGAACACCAGUGGCGAAGGCGACUCUCUGGUCUGUAACUGACGCGGAGGCUCGAAAGCGUGGGUAGCAAACAGG